Molecule: long non-coding RNA, 527 nt
Organism: Leptonychotes weddellii (Weddell seal)
Lineage: Eukaryota; Metazoa; Chordata; Mammalia; Carnivora; Phocidae
Source: RefSeq, a predicted model, not a curated record
GUCCCAGAUACCUCUGACCACAGACAAGCCGCAAAACACUGCUCUAUACUACCGAGUGCCUUUAGUGACCCACAGCACAGCUAAGACGUCCAGGAACCAUCUACAGAUUCUUCCCAGGUUGGGGAUUGAGGGGCUCUUGAUCCAGUGGAGUCCUAUCUGCCGGUCUCCACCUCUCGGAAUCUCGAGGGGAAAUGAGGCUUCCCUUCGACUUCUGAGCUCAGCCAGACCCCACCCGGGGCCCCAGGGGACGCCUGCUCAGAGAUGGAGUGAUUAGGAAGCAGGGGGCGCAGACAGCCACCCCAAGGAGCUGCUCCAGAGAACACCAGCUGAAAGUAAAUGUCCUUGAGGGCCCCAGCAUUCUCCUCAUCAUUAAUGCAUGGGCAUGAUCAUCCAGGCUUCAGAACCUGCCUGAAAGAGAUGCCGGAAGAAUCAGCAAACACCAGGGAAGCAGAGGACACAAGCUUGGAUGUGAAAUAGCAACAUCUUGUGCAUUGAAGAAUAAUAAAGUUUUUAAUUACAAAAGAAAA